GAUCUGCUCACGUAUUUCCCCUUUUGUCUUCCAGUGGAGCCGAGUCCCUCUCUUCAGAUGAAAAAGAGGUGGUGGCUGGCGGCGCGGAGGGAGAGGGCUCGGCCGAGGAGCACCCCGUGGGAGAGGACGGGUGCGGAAACAGCUCCAGCAGU
Molecule: long non-coding RNA, 152 nt
Organism: Gavia stellata (red-throated loon)
Lineage: Eukaryota; Metazoa; Chordata; Aves; Gaviiformes; Gaviidae
Exons: 3
Source: RefSeq, a predicted model, not a curated record